Molecule: long non-coding RNA, 1275 nt
Filed under: Cyanistes caeruleus (blue tit)
Lineage: Eukaryota; Metazoa; Chordata; Aves; Passeriformes; Paridae
Description: lncRNA (ENSCCEG00000015397.1)
Source: RNAcentral
CCUACUCUAGGGAGUGGAAGGUCAGGUCUCAUGUGAAAAGGAAGGUAAUCUGGACCAGUCAUAAAAUGUUAUGCUGAAAGCCUUAGGAUAAGUAGAUCACUCCUAAUACCUCUUUUCCUCUCCUAAUCUCUCUUGCAGUAACCUUAGCCAGUACUUGUCUGAGUUACUGAGUUUUAAGCCAGAUGUUAAUUCUACAUUUAGAGUAAAUGUUAUCUGAGAAGAAAUUCUUGCAGCUAGCAGCCAUGAGCUUGUGGGAGGAAACGGAGCUGGUGUUUACUGUCUGUUUUCUUUUUCCUUGCUUGAAGACAAAGGACAGAAAGUGCUACCAUCACUCAUAACAUACGCCAUCAGAAGGAUAAGAGAUGCCUUUAGAGAAAACAAGAACAUUGCGGAUUCUGAAAAAAUAGAAGAACUACUGAAUAAAGCCAAAGCAAACCUCCAGAUUAUUCAACGGCAGGUAUGUUUUUCUCAUUUUUAUAGGAGUUGUCCAUUGCUUAUUUAAGUGCUUUAUGCCACCAGAGAUGGAAAAAAAAAAAGAUCCUUGCUUAAAACAUAUCUAGGUGAAUAUCAGUUUUUGUCUGACUUUAUUUGUCCUUCCAUCAUAGGUUCAGAAGGGUGACACUGACACUCACUCUAAAUAACCUCACUUUCUUCAGUGUUCAUUUUUCCCCAUCUCCAGACACAGUGUUGGAAUAGUAACAGAACAAGAAAAUCCUGAAGUGAAUUAAGUAAAUGCUGGCUAAAUGGCAAUAGGUUUUUCUUUGGAAAAUUUACAUCACUGGCAAUAUUUUCCUUCAACCUUGUCUAAGUAGCAUUUAUAGCAUCUCUGUUCCUUCCAAGAGGUACCAUGUUACUAAGAAAUGAAGUAGACUUGGUUGAACUUGAGAUACUUUUUAAUUUCUCAUUUAUAGCUGCUGUGUAUUUAAAGUGACCGCUAAAAAUUGGAAAAAAAGCAGGUUUCUAUGCCUGAACUCUCUAUGGGCACUUGCAGUGCUUAAGCUGCUCCUCCUUGCAAAAUCUGCACUUGCUGACACCAGUCAGAGCUCAGUAGUACUUUUAUUAAACACUGAACAACUAUGUGCACCUGCUCCUCAAUGGUUUAGUAAGGCUCUUUAAACAACCAGCAGGUUAGUUAGAUGGAUUCUUAUUUUAGUAGGGUGCUGGGCCCUUUGAUUUGACAAUUAAGUAUGGAUACUUAGGUGCAAGUUAAUUUUUUUUUAUUUUCUUCUCCCAGGAUCAGGUGUUGUUUUGUGCCACCAUAGUUUUGAUAUCUUU